Molecule: ribosomal RNA, 460 nt
Filed under: uncultured Methylomirabilota bacterium
Lineage: Bacteria; Methylomirabilota (SeqCode)
Description: bacterial SSU rRNA
Rfam family: Bacterial small subunit ribosomal RNA
Source: RNAcentral
GGGCUUGACAUCCCACGAACCUGCCUGAAAGGGCGGGGUGCCCGCAAGGGAGCGUGGAGACAGGUGGUGCAUGGCUGUCGUCAGCUCGUGUCGUGAGAUGUUGGGUUAAGUCCCGCAACGAGCGCAACCCUCACCCCUGGUUGCCACCGGGUAAAGCCGAGCACUCGAGGGGAACUGCCAGCGUCAAGCUGGAGGAAGGCGGGGAUGACGUCAAGUCAUCGUGCCCCUUACGUCCCGGGCUACACACGUGCUACAAUGGCCGGUACAAAGGGACGCGAGACCGCGAGGUGGAGCCAAUCCCAAAAAACUGGUCUAAGUUCAGAUUGCAGUCUGCAACUCGACUGCAUGAAGGAGGAAUCGCUAGUAAUCGCGCAUCAGCACGGCGCGGUGAAUACGUUCCCGGGCCUUGUACACACCGCCCGUCACACCACGAAAGCUGUCUGUACUCGAAGUCGCUGAG